This 343-nucleotide unclassified non-coding RNA is filed under the name soil metagenome. Its description in RNAcentral is "partial contains 5.8S ribosomal RNA, internal transcribed spacer 2, and large subunit ribosomal RNA". The stretch from base 1 to 120 matches the Rfam family "5.8S ribosomal RNA", at positions 35 to 154 of the family's 154-position model. The record is from RNAcentral.
GAUGAAGAACGUAGCGAAAUGCGAUAAGUAAUGUGAAUUGCAGAAUUCAGUGAAUCAUCGAAUCUUUGAACGCACAUUGCGCCCGCCAGUAUUCUGGCGGGCAUGCCUGUUCGAGCGUCAUUUCAACCCUCAGGCCCCGCCUGGCGUUGGGGAUCGGCGCGGCCCUCUCCGGGCUGCCGGCCCCGAAAACUAGUGGCGGUCUCGCUGUAGUCCUCCUCUGCGCAGUAGCAAUGCUCGCACUGGAACUCGGCGCGGCCACGCCGUAAAACACCCCACUUCUGAAAGUUGACCUCGGAUCAGGUAGGAAUACCCGCUGAACUUAAGCAUAUCAAUAAGCGGAGGA